RNAcentral lists this ribosomal RNA (253 nucleotides) under uncultured bacterium. RNAcentral's name for it is "partial 16S ribosomal RNA". It matches the Rfam family "Bacterial small subunit ribosomal RNA", at positions 524 to 776 of the family's 1533-position model. The record is from RNAcentral.
UACGAGUGCCUCAAGCGUUAUCCGGAUUCACUGGGUUUAAAGGGUGCGUAGGAGGAAAGGUAAGUCAGUGGUGAAAUCUCCAAGCUUAACUUGGAAACUGCCGUUGAUACUAUCUUUCUUGAAUACCGUGGAGGUGAGCGGAAUAUGUCAUGUAGCGGUGAAAUGCUUAGAUAUGACAUAGAACACCAAUUGCGAAGGCAGCUCGCUACACGAAUAUUGACUCUGAGGCACGAAAGCGUGGGGAUCAAACAGG